Molecule: ribosomal RNA, 900 nt
Filed under: uncultured bacterium
Lineage: Bacteria
Description: bacterial SSU rRNA
Rfam family: Bacterial small subunit ribosomal RNA
Source: RNAcentral
AGCAGCCGCGGUAAUUCGGAGGGUGCAAGCGUUAAUCGGAAUUACUGGGCGUAAAGCGUGCGUAGGUGGUUUGUUAAGUCAGAUGUGAAAGCCCCGGGCUCAACCUGGGAACUGCAUUUGAAACUGGCAAACUUGAGUAUAGGAGAGGAAAGUGGAAUUUCUGGUGUAGCGGUGAAAUGCGUAGAUAUCAGAAGGAACAUCAAUGGCGAAGGCAGCUUUCUGGACUAAUACUGACACUGAGGUACGAAAGCGUGGGUAGCAAACAGGAUUAGAUACCCUGGUAGUCCACGCCGUAAACGAUGAGUACUUGGUGUCGGGGGAUUCGACCCCUUCGGUACCGGAGCUAACGCAUUAAGUACUCCGCCUGGGAACUACGACCGCAAGGUUGAAAUUCAAAGGAAUUGACGGGGACCCGCACAAGCGGUGGAACAUGUGGUUUAAUUCGAUGCAACGCGAAGAACCUUACCUGGGCUUGACAUAUUUAUGAAAGCUUUGUGAAAGCAAAGCCAUCUGCGAGCUUGCUCAAAGACAUAAUUACAGGUGAUGCAUGGCUGUCGUCAGCUCGUGUCGUGAGAUGUUGGGUUAAGUCCCGCAACGAGCGCAACCCCUAUCCUUAGUUGCCAGCACAUUAUGGUGGGGACUCUAAGGAGACUGCCUGGGAUAACCAGGAGGAAGGUGGGGAUGAUGUCAAGUCAGUAUGUCCCUUAUGUCCAGGGCUACACACGUGUUACAAUGGUUGGUACAAUGGGCUGCGAAACCGCAAGGUGAAGCCAAUCCCCAAAAACCAAUCCCAGUUCGGAUUGGAGUCUGCAACUCGACUCCAUGAAGCAGGAAUCGCUAGUAAUCGUGGAUCAGAACGCCACGGUGAAUACGUUCCCGGGUCUUGUACACACCGCCCGU